GAUGAACGCUGGCGGCGUGCCUAAUACAUGCAAGUCGAGCGAACGGACGAGAAGCUUGCUUUUCUGAUGUUAGCGGCGGACGGGUGAGUAACACGUGGAUAACCUACCUAUAAGACUGGGAUAACUUCGGGAAACCGGAGCUAAUACCGGAUAAUAUUUUGAACCGCAUGGUUCAAAAGUGAAAGACGGUCUUGCUGUCACUUAUAGAUGGAUCCGCGCUGCAUUGGCUAGUUGGUAAGGUAACGGCUUACCAAGGCAACGAUGCAUAGUCGACCUGAGAGGGUGAUCGGCCACACUGGAACUGAGACACGGUCCAGACUCCUACGGGAGGCAGCAGUAGGGAAUCUUCCGCAAUGGGCGAAAGCCUGACGGAGCAACGCCGCGUGAGUGAUGAAGGUCUUCGGAUCGUAAAACUCUGUUAUUAGGGAAGAACAUAUGUGUAAGUAACUGUGCACAUCUUGACGGUACCUAAUCAGAAAGCCACGGCUAACUACGUG
RNAcentral lists this ribosomal RNA (497 nucleotides) under uncultured bacterium. RNAcentral's name for it is "partial 16S ribosomal RNA". It matches the Rfam family "Bacterial small subunit ribosomal RNA", at positions 28 to 507 of the family's 1533-position model. The record is from RNAcentral.